This 275-nucleotide ribosomal RNA is filed under the name uncultured Parabacteroides sp. RNAcentral describes it as "partial 16S ribosomal RNA". It matches the Rfam family "Bacterial small subunit ribosomal RNA", at positions 70 to 339 of the family's 1533-position model. Lineage: Bacteria; Pseudomonadati; Bacteroidota; Bacteroidia; Bacteroidales; Tannerellaceae. The record is from RNAcentral.
CAUGAUUUGUAGCAAUACAGAUUGAUGGCGACCGGCGCACGGGUGAGUAACGCGUAUGCAACUUACCUAUCAGAGGGGGAUAGCCCGGCGAAAGUCGGAUUAAUACCCCAUAAAACAGGGGUCCCGCAUGGGAAUAUUUGUUAAAGAUUCAUCGCUGAUAGAUAGGCCUGCGUCUGAUUAGCUAGUUGGUGGGGUAACGGCCCACCAAGGCUACGAUCAGUAGGGGUUCUGAGAGGAAGGUCCCCACAUUGGAACUGAGACACGGCCCAGACUCC